RNAcentral lists this ribosomal RNA (517 nucleotides) under Gastrotheca phelloderma. RNAcentral describes it as "partial large subunit ribosomal RNA". It matches the Rfam family "Bacterial large subunit ribosomal RNA", at positions 1928 to 2597 of the family's 2925-position model. Lineage: Eukaryota; Metazoa; Chordata; Amphibia; Anura; Hemiphractidae. The record is from RNAcentral.
CGGCCGCGGUAUCCUAACCGUGCGAAGGUAGCGUAAUCACUUGUCCUUUAAAUGGGGACUAGUAUGAACGGCACCACGAGGGUUAUACUGUCUCCUUUCUCCAAUCAGUGAAUCUAAUCUCCCCGUGAAGAAGCGGGAAUACACCUAUAAGACGAGAAGACACUAUGGAGCUUUAAACAAAACAACAUUUGCUAAAUCACACACGUAUCUCAGGAAAUCAACUCUUAUUUUAGCUUUAUGAUUGUUAGUUUUAGGUUGGGGUGACCGCGGAGCAAAAAACAACCUCCACAAUGAAUGGGGACCUCCCCUAAGCAGAAAGCCACAACUUUACGCAUCAACAAAUUGACAUUGAUUGACACAAUAUUUUGAUCAACGAAACAAGUUACCCUAGGGAUAACAGCGCAAUCCACUUCAAGAGCCCAUAUCAACAAGUGGGUUUACGACCUCGAUGUUGGAUCAGGGUACCCCAGUGGUGCAACCGCUACUAAAGGUUCGUUUGUGCAACAAGUUUAACCCU